This is a non-coding RNA of Dipodomys ordii (Ord's kangaroo rat), 65 nucleotides long. The record is from Rfam. NCBI's taxonomy places the organism in Eukaryota, Metazoa, Chordata, Mammalia, Rodentia, Heteromyidae.
GGUGACUCAGUGGUAGAGUGCUUGCCUUGCAUGCAUGAGACCCUGGGUUCAAUUCCUCAGCACCA